Molecule: long non-coding RNA, 962 nt
Filed under: Salmo salar (Atlantic salmon)
Lineage: Eukaryota; Metazoa; Chordata; Actinopteri; Salmoniformes; Salmonidae
Description: lncRNA (ENSSSAG00000107502.1)
Source: RNAcentral
CCCUGAUGGAAAUGAAGAAUACAUGACCAGGACAGUGGAGGACGGCCCUGACGGGAAAUGGAAGAUGUGGUGGAAAUGAAGAAUAAAUGCUGCUCCAUCCUACAAAGAAUGUCCACUGUGUUGUUACCAGAUGCUGAGACGGUACAACCUGCUGACUGAUGCAUACCAUAUCAUCAGCCUUGGAUACAAGUUCCUACUCACCCUCUCAGUUACCCAGGUAGAUCCUACUCACCCUCUCAGUUACCCAGGUAGUUCCUACUCACCCUCAGUUACCCAGGUAGAUCCUACUCACCCUCUCAGUUACCCAGGUAGAUCCUACUCAGCCUCUCAGUUACCCAGGUAGAUCCUACUCACCCUCUCUGUUACCCAGGUAGAUCCUACUCACCCUCUCAGUUACCCAGGUAGAUCCUACUCACCCUCUCAGUUACCCAGGUAGUUCCUACUCACCCUCAGUUACCCAGGUAGUUCCUACUCACCCUCAGUUACCCAGGUAGAUCCUACUCACCCUCUCUGUUACCCAGGUAGUUCCUACUCACCCUCUCAGUUACCCAGGUAGAUCCUACUCACCCUCUCAGUUACCCAGGUAGAUCCUGCUCACCCUCUGUUACCCAGGUAGUUCCUACUCACCCUCUCAGUUACCCAGCUAGAUCCUACUCACCCUCUGUUACCCAAGUAGUUCCUACUCACCCUCUCAGUUACCCAGGUAGUUCCCACUCACCCUCUCAGUUACCCAGGUAGAUCCUACUCACCCUCUCAGUUACCCAGGUAGCUUGUGAAUGAAGUUUCUCUACCUUAAAGUAUAUCAAGAGCAGGGGCUGGUAGUGAUGUAGCUAGGUGGUUGUAUUAGGGGUAGUGAUGUAGCUAGGUGGUUGUAUUAGGGGUUGUGAUGUAGCUAGGUGGUUGUAUUAGGGGUUGUGAUGUAGCUAGGUGGUUGUAUUAGGGGUUGUGGUGUAGCUAGGUGG